This 497-nucleotide ribosomal RNA is filed under the name uncultured bacterium. RNAcentral's name for it is "partial 16S ribosomal RNA". It matches the Rfam family "Bacterial small subunit ribosomal RNA", at positions 28 to 507 of the family's 1533-position model. The record is from RNAcentral.
GAUGAACGCUGGCGGCGUGCCUAAUACAUGCCAGUCGAGCGAACAGACGAGGAGCUUGCUCCUCUGACGUUAGCGGCGGACGGGUGAGUAACACGUGGAUAACCUACCUAUAAGACUGGGAUAACUUCGGGAAACCGGAGCUAAUACCGGAUAAUAUAUUGAACCGCAUGGUUCAAUAGUGAAAGACGGUUUUGCUGUCACUUAUAGAUGGAUCCGCGCCGCAUUAGCUAGUUGGUAAGGUAACGGCUUACCAAGGCAACGAUGCGUAGCCGACCUGAGAGGGUGAUCGGCCGCACUGGAACCGAGACACGGUCCAGACUCCUACGGGAGGCAGCAGUAGGGAAUCUUCCGCAAUGGGCGAAAGCCUGACGGAGCAACGCCGCGUGAGUGAUGAAGGUCUUCGGAUCGUAAAACUCUGUUAUUAGGGAAGAACAAAUGUGUAAGUAACUAUGCACGUCUUGACGGUACCUAAUCAGAAAGCCACGGCUAACUACGUG